This is a long non-coding RNA of Vitis vinifera (wine grape), 1448 nucleotides long. RefSeq lists it as uncharacterized. The transcript is spliced from 2 exons. NCBI's taxonomy places the organism in Eukaryota, Viridiplantae, Streptophyta, Magnoliopsida, Vitales, Vitaceae. The record is from RefSeq and is a predicted model, not a curated record.
AUCAAGCAUGAGAGGUUCUCCAAACAUUUCCAAUUGGGCUGGAGCCUUCUACCUGCGGAGGUUUUCUGGGCUUGUUGCUUGGUUCCAGGGCUUUUAUAAAGAUACUUCCAAAAUUAGUUCAAAUUGAUUUUGAAUCAAAAUGGAAAGUAAUUCGAUCUAAGCUGGAAGUUUUGGAGCAAAUGUUCUUAAAAGAGACUCAAAAGGCUGAAGAACCAGUGCAAUGGCUCAAUGGCCAAUUGUGCUUAAUGGCUUUUUCCAGCAUCCAAAAUGCAGCCCUAAAUUUGUCUAUACAUGUCAGUCUAUUCUUAUCCAGAUUAGGUCAAAUUGUUUCCAUUUCAAAGUCCCUUAAGUAUUCUUUAGGACAGGUGUGAAAACUCUUUGUGCAUUUCUUGAAAAGCUACACCCAAUUUUGGUUGCUAGAAGGGCAAUUUGACAAUUCUUCGAUGAAGUUGGGCACUCUUCUGAAAGUUCUUUCUAUCCAUUUUAAGUCCCCUUAGAACUUCACAUCAGAAAUUGAAAUUCAUUCUUAGCUUUUAUAAUUGGGAUUUCACAUAUGAUUGUUGACCAUGUCUGAAUCAGUACAGGGUGUUCAUGAGGGAUGUUUGGUGGCAGAUGUGAAUCAAUAUUUCAUCAGCUUAUAUGGAAAAUAGCAGUUGCUGAGUGAUGGCUUAUUUUGUGAUUUGCUUGCUGUUCUUCGCAGUUGCCUACCUAUCCUGCAGCCAUGUUUCUUGGUGAUAGUGAUGGAGAAAGCAUGAGCCUUGUAUUAUACUUUUGACAGUGAACUUGAGCCAAGGAUUUGUUCCACUAGUUUGUUAUUGAUAUCUUGUUUUCUUUCCAACUUGCAGUAUUAUUCCUGCUAUUUGCUCCACUAGUUUGUUAUUGAUGUCUUGUUUUCUUUCCAACUUGUGUAACAUCUUAGUUAACUGCCAACUUUGGUUUCUGGUGCAGAGAUUGGUUGAUGAUGAGAUGGAGAAGGUCAGAGGGUUUGCAAAGGAAUCUGCGGUCCCUUUCAGGGAAAGGCUAAAAAUCAUGGCUGGGGUGGUUAAUCCAGAUGACCUCAACUUGAGUCCUGCUGAAAGGAAGCGACAAAAAUCAAUUCAGCUAAUUUCAUCAAAAUCAGUAUCACAAGAUGCCAUGGUUUCCUGAUGAACUGCACAAAGACCAGAGGAACUGCCCGAGCAAGCACUUUGCUGUGUCCGAUUGAACAAGAUUGAUUUUGUAAACCAUGGUCAAAUACCUACACUAGUGACUGAUGAUUGAUUUCGAUAGGAAACCACAAGAUAGUGUGUUUAAAGUGAACCAUCCUAGCAAAAUAAUCAUCAAUCAAGGUGUCAAUUGUAAAAUUUGAUUCACCCUGACCUAUUUUUACUUGACCAAAAUGGGGGAAAAACAGAAGAAAAAUAAUAGAAUUUUUUUUCUUUUCUUUCCCAUUGAAAGAAACUUGUGUU